GGGUUGUGAGGUUAAGCGACUAAGCGUACACGGUGGAUGCCCUGGCAGUCAGAGGCGAUGAAGGACGUGCUAAUCUGCGAAAAGCGCCGGCGAGGUGAUAUGAACCUUUGACCCGGCGAUGUCCGAAUGGGGAAACCCAGUGCAAUUCGUUGCACUAUCGUUAACUGAAUACAUAGGUUAACGAGGCGAACCGGGGGAACUGAAACAUCUAAGUACCCCGAGGAAAAGAAAUCAACCGAGAUUCCCCCAGUAGCGGCGAGCGAACGGGGAGCAGCCCAGAGUCUGAAUCAGCUUGUGUGUUAGUGGAAGCGUCUGGAAAGUCGCACGGUACAGGGUGACAGUCCCGUACACGAAAAUGCACAGGUUGUGAACUCGAAGAGUAGGGCGGGACACGUGGUAUCCUGUCUGAAUAUGGGGGGACCAUCCUCCAAGGCUAAAUACUCCUGACUGACCGAUAGUGAACCAGUACCGUGAGGGAAAGGCGAAAAGAACCCCGGCGAGGGGAGUGAAAAAGAACCUGAAACCGUGUACGUACAAGCAGUGGGAGCACCUUCGUGGUGUGACUGCGUACCUUUUGUAUAAUGGGUCAGCGACUUAUAUUCUGUAGCAAGGUUAACCGUAUAGGGGAGCCGAAGGGAAACCGAGUCUUAACUGGGCGUUAAGUUGCAGGGUAUAGACCCGAAACCCGGUGAUCUAGCCAUGGGCAGGUUGAAGGUUGGGUAACACUAACUGGAGGACCGAACCGACUAAUGUUGAAAAAUUAGCGGAUGACUUGUGGCUGGGGUGAAAGGCCAAUCAAACCGGGAGAUAGCUGGUUCUCCCCGAAAGCUAUUUAGGUAGCGCCUCGUGAACUCAUCUUCGGGGUAGAGCACUGUUUCGGCUAGGGGCCAUCCCGGCUUACCAACCCGAUGCAAACUACGAAUACCGAAGAAUGUUAUCACGGGAGACACACGGCGGGUGCUAACGUCCGUCGUGAAGAGGGAAACAACCCAGACCGCCAGCUAAGGUCCCAAAGUCAUGGUUAAGUGGGAAACGAUGUGGGAAGGCACAGACAGCCGUGAUGUUGGCUUAGAAGCAGCCAUCAUUUAAAGAAAGCGUAAUAGCUCACUGGUCGAGUCGGCCUGCGCGGAAGAUGUAACGGGGCUAAACCAUGCACCGAAGCUGCGGCAGCGACACUUAUGUGUUGUUGGGUAGGGGAGCGUUCUGUAAGCCGUUGAAGGUGUGCUGUGAGGCAUGCUGGAGGUAUCAGAAGUGCGAAUGCUGACAUAAGUAACGAUAAAGCGGGUGAAAAGCCCGCUCGCCGGAAGACCAAGGGUUCCUGUCCAACGUUAAUCGGGGCAGGGUGAGUCGACCCUAAGGCGAGGCCGAAAGGCGUAGUCGAUGGGAAACAGGUUAAUAUUCCUGUACUUGGUGUUACUGCGAAGGGGGGAAGGAGAAGGCUAUGUUAGCCGGGCGACGGUUGUCCCGGUUUAAGCAUGUAGGCGGAGGUUCCAGGUAAAUCCGGUACCUUAUUAACGCUGAGGUGUGAUGACGAGGCACUACGGUGCUGAAGUAACAAAUGCCCUGCUUCCAGGAAAAGCCUCUAAGCAUCAGGUAACAUCAAAUCGUACCCCAAACCGACACAGGUGGUCAGGUAGAGAAUACCAAGGCGCUUGAGAGAACUCGGGUGAAGGAACUAGGCAAAAUGGUGCCGUAACUUCGGGAGAAGGCACGCUGAUAUGUAGGUGAAGCCCCUGCGGGUGGAGCUGAAAUCAGUCGAAGAUACCAGCUGGCUGCAACUGUUUAUUAAAACACAGCACUGUGCAAACACGAAAGUGGACGUAUACGGUGUGACGCCUGCCCGGUGCCGGAAGGUUAAUUGAUGGGGUUAGCGGCAACGCGAAGCUCUUGAUCGAAGCCCCGGUAAACGGCGGCCGUAACUAUAACGGUCCUAAGGUAGCGAAAUUCCUUGUCGGGUAAGUUCCGACCUGCACGAAUGGCGUAAUGAUGGCCAGGCUGUCUCCACCCGAGACUCAGUGAAAUUGAACUCGCUGUGAAGAUGCAGUGUACCCGCGGCAAGACGGAAAGACCCCGUGAACCUUUACUAUAGCUUGACACUGAACACUGGUCCUUGAUGUGUAGGAUAGGUGGGAGGCUUUGAAGUGUGGACGCCAGUCUGCAUGGAGCCGUCCUUGAAAUACCACCCUUUAAUGGCUGGUGUUCUAACGUAGACCCGUAAUCCGGGUUGCGGACAGUGUCUGGUGGGUAGUUUGACUGGGGCGGUCUCCUCCCAAAGAGUAACGGAGGAGCACGAAGGUUAGCUAAUCCUGGUCGGACAUCAGGAGGUUAGUGCAAUGGCAUAAGCUAGCUUGACUGCGAGAGUGACGGCUCGAGCAGGUGCGAAAGCAGGUCAUAGUGAUCCGGUGGUUCUGAAUGGAAGGGCCAUCGCUCAACGGAUAAAAGGUACUCCGGGGAUAACAGGCUGAUACCGCCCAAGAGUUCAUAUCGACGGCGGUGUUUGGCACCUCGAUGUCGGCUCAUCACAUCCUGGGGCUGAAGUAGGUCCCAAGGGUAUGGCUGUUCGCCAUUUAAAGUGGUACGCGAGCUGGGUUUAGAACGUCGUGAGACAGUUCGGUCCCUAUCUGCCGUGGGCGCUGGAGAAUUGAGGGGGGCUGCUCCUAGUACGAGAGGACCGGAGUGGACGCAUCACUGGUGUUCGGGUUGUCAUGCCAAUGGCACUGCCCGGUAGCUAAAUGCGGAAAAGAUAAGUGCUGAAAGCAUCUAAGCACGAAACUUGCCCCGAGAUGAGUUCUCCCUGAGACUUUAAGUCUCCUGAAGGAACGUUGAAGACGACGACGUUGAUAGGUCGGGUGUGUAAGCGCAGCGAUGCGUUGAGCUAACCGAUACUAAUGAACCGUGAGGCUUAACCUUACAACGCCGAAG
Molecule: ribosomal RNA, 2922 nt
Filed under: Enterobacter roggenkampii
Lineage: Bacteria; Pseudomonadati; Pseudomonadota; Gammaproteobacteria; Enterobacterales; Enterobacteriaceae
Description: 23S ribosomal RNA
Rfam family: Bacterial large subunit ribosomal RNA
Source: RNAcentral